RNAcentral lists this ribosomal RNA (103 nucleotides) under Sus scrofa (pig). RNAcentral describes it as "partial small subunit ribosomal RNA". The record is from RNAcentral. Lineage: Eukaryota; Metazoa; Chordata; Mammalia; Artiodactyla; Suidae.
AAAACUAUUCGCCAGAGUACUACUCGCAACUGCCUAAAACUCAAAGGACUUGGCGGUGCUUCACAUCCACCUAGAGGAGCCUGUUCUAUAAUCGAUAAACCCC